This 256-nucleotide ribosomal RNA is filed under the name uncultured bacterium. RNAcentral describes it as "partial 16S ribosomal RNA". It matches the Rfam family "Bacterial small subunit ribosomal RNA", at positions 521 to 776 of the family's 1533-position model. The record is from RNAcentral.
UAAUACAGAGGUCUCAAGCGUUGUUCGGAAUCACUGGGCGUAAAGGGUGCGUAGGCUGCGGCGUAAGUCAGAUGUGAAAUCCCGGGGCUCAACCUCGGAAUUGCAUCCGAUACUGCGUUGCUUGAGGGCUGGAGAGGAGUCUGGAAUUCAUGGUGGAGCAGUGAAAUGCGUAGAUAUCAUGAGGAACGCUAGUGGCGUAGGCGAGACUCUGGACAGAUCCUGACGCUGAGGCACGAAGGCCAGGGGAGCAAACGGG